RNAcentral lists this transfer RNA (69 nucleotides) under Ambystoma laterale (blue-spotted salamander). RNAcentral describes it as "tRNA-Ser". Lineage: Eukaryota; Metazoa; Chordata; Amphibia; Caudata; Ambystomatidae. The record is from RNAcentral.
GAGAAGAGUUAAAGAAACAAAAGAAACUGCUAAUAUCUAAACCUGUGGUUAAACCCCGCAGUCUACUCA